UGAUCCAGCCAUCCCGCGUGAAGGACGACGGCCCUAUGGGUUGUAAACUUCUUUUGUAUAGGGAUAAACCUUUCCACGUGUGGAAAGCUGAAGGUACUAUACGAAUAAGCACCGGCUAACUCCGUGCCAGCAGCCGCGGUAAUACGGAGGGUGCAAGCGUUAUCCGGAUUUAUUGGGUUUAAAGGGUCCGUAGGCGGACUCGUAAGUCAGUGGUGAAAUCUCAUAGCUUAACUAUGAAACUGCCAUUGAUACUGCGGGUCUUGAGUAAGGUAGAGGUAGCUGGAAUAAGUAGUGUAGCGGUGAAAUGCAUAGAUAUUACUUAGAACACCAAUUGCGAAGGCAGGUUACCAUGUCUUAACUGACGCUGAUGGACGAAAGCGUGGGGAGCGAACAGGAUUAGAUACCCUGGUAGUCCACGCCGUAAACGAUGCUAACUCGUUUUUGGGGCUUCGGCUUCAGAGACUAAGCGAAAGUGAUAAGUUAGCCACCUGGGGAGUACGAACGCAAGUUUGAAACUCAAAGGAAUUGACGGGGGCCCGCACAAGCGGUGGAUUAUGUGGUUUAAUUCGAUGAUACGCGAGGAACCUUACCAAGGCUUAAAUGGGAAUUGACAGGUUUAGAAAUAGACUUUUCUUCGGACAAUUUUCAAGGUGCUGCAUGGUUGUCGUCAGCUCGUGCCGUGAGGUGUUAGGUUAAGUCCUGCAACGAGCGCAACCCCUGUCACUAGUUGCUAGCAUUAAGUUGAGGACUCUAGUGAGACUGCCUACGCAAGUAGAGAGGAAGGUGGGGAUGACGUCAAAUCAUCACGGCCCUUACGCCUUGGGCCACACACGUAAUACAAUGGCCAGUACAGAGGGCUGCUACCAGGUGACUGGAUGCUAAUCUCGAAAGCUGGUCUCAGUUCGGAUUGGAGUCUGCAACUCGACUCUAUGAAGCUGGAAUCGCUAGUAAUCGCGCAUCAGCCAUGGCGCGGUGAAUACGUUCCCGGGCCUUGUACACACCGCCCGUCAAGCCAUGGAAGUCUGGGGUACCUGAAGUCGGUGACCGUA
RNAcentral lists this ribosomal RNA (1049 nucleotides) under Chryseobacterium sp. RNAcentral describes it as "bacterial SSU rRNA". It matches the Rfam family "Bacterial small subunit ribosomal RNA", at positions 384 to 1438 of the family's 1533-position model. The record is from RNAcentral. Lineage: Bacteria; Pseudomonadati; Bacteroidota; Flavobacteriia; Flavobacteriales; Weeksellaceae.